GAUUGAUAAAGGCAAAUCCAUCGAAAGGUGGAGACGCAAAACUAUAGGGGUUAAGGCGGCAUGUUCGCUAUACCAGCCAGUUACCGAU
RNAcentral lists this non-coding RNA (88 nucleotides) under Paenibacillus macerans. RNAcentral's name for it is "c-di-GMP sequence". It matches the Rfam family "c-di-GMP-I riboswitch aptamer". From Rfam's summary of the family: GEMM was predicted in a large-scale screen for bacterial structured RNA regulatory elements. Genes associated with GEMM are involved in a diverse array of functions, including chemotaxis regulation, signal transduction, secretion and chitin. The record is from Rfam by way of RNAcentral. Lineage: Bacteria; Bacillati; Bacillota; Bacilli; Caryophanales; Paenibacillaceae.